Ictalurus punctatus (channel catfish) is the source of this 903-nucleotide long non-coding RNA. The record is from Ensembl. Lineage: Eukaryota; Metazoa; Chordata; Actinopteri; Siluriformes; Ictaluridae.
AAUAAACCAAAAUAAAUAAAUAAACCAAAUUAAAUAAAUAAACCAAAAUAAAUAAAUACAUAAGUGAACUACUUCCUGACGCUGCUCUCUCUGAACACUACAUUUCCCAGACUGCCACAGAGAACAGAUUUCCUGAAACUGAAGGCUCCUCGCGCCGCGCCGCUCAGCUCAGGCUUAAGCCCCGCCCACCUCUGAAAACACCCGCUCGUCUUUCCCCCCUCUCUGAGCAGCGGUUGGACGCCUCGGAAGUCAAUUUAGGAAGUUCGGAGCACUCGUGUCGUGCGCUGUUUGUGUUGAAUAACGGUCCUGAAGGAAGAUUAGUGCUGGGACCAUGAGCUGGACAUGAGCUGGACGUGAGCUGGACAUGAGCUGGACAUGAGCUCAGAUCUUCAGGCUUGCUGAGGUUUUUGGAGGAAUUAUAUCGCUGUUUGAUCUUCUGAACAAACAAACAAACAACAAACAAAGUAAGCGUGCUACCAGUUUUGCUUAUUUUCCUUUGAAACAUUUCAUAAUAUGUAACAAGAAAUGCAUCAUCGUGUUCUUUUGAGACUUUGUAAACUCAUUUAUCGAAAUUCUGUUGUAUUUUUUUCAUAGUUAGAUGCUCAACAGGGGAUUUUAAAUCACACACACACACACACACACACACACACACACACACACACACACAUAUAUAUACACACACACAGUACCUAUACAGUACCUAUGGGCCUGCCUAUUUAAGCUGGUGGGAUGCUGUACAGAUCAAAACAUUGUUGUUACAGUUGAGGUCAUAAGUUUACAUACGUCAGUCCUGCCCUGAAUAAGCUAUUUCACAUAACAGAUGUUUACAUACAGUCCACAAUUUACACAAAUGAACCCGUUCAAAAGUUUACACACGCUUGAUUCUUAAUACCGUGUGUCUUU